CACGUAGGCGGACUUUUAAGUCAGGGGUGAAAUCCCGGGGCUCAACCCCGGAACUGCCUUUGAUACUGGCAGUCUUGAGUAUGGUAGAGGUGAGUGGAAUUCCGAGUGUAGAGGUGAAAUUCGUAGAUAUUCGGAGGAACACCAGUGGCGAAGGCGGCUCACUGGACUGUAACUGACGCUGAGGCGCGAAAGCGUGGGGAGCAAACAGGAUUAGAUACCCUGGUA
Molecule: ribosomal RNA, 225 nt
Filed under: uncultured Brucella sp.
Lineage: Bacteria; Pseudomonadati; Pseudomonadota; Alphaproteobacteria; Hyphomicrobiales; Brucellaceae
Description: partial 16S ribosomal RNA
Rfam family: Bacterial small subunit ribosomal RNA
Source: RNAcentral